GGAGCUGUGAAGCUCUGUCAGAAGGAAGCCGGAGUGCAAAGCCACGAGCUGACGAACAGAAGCAGCACAUACGAGGCCAAGUUCGGGGGCGAGUCUGCACAACAAGACGAAGCCCAGACUUCACUGAACACGGUAAAUGCAAGGUUGCGAAGCACAGGAUGUGCAAGU
Molecule: non-coding RNA, 168 nt
Organism: Candidatus Riflebacteria bacterium GWC2_50_8
Lineage: Bacteria; Candidatus Rifleibacteriota
Source: Rfam